This 437-nucleotide ribosomal RNA is filed under the name uncultured Clostridiaceae bacterium. RNAcentral describes it as "partial 16S ribosomal RNA". It matches the Rfam family "Bacterial small subunit ribosomal RNA", at positions 341 to 792 of the family's 1533-position model. Lineage: Bacteria; Bacillati; Bacillota; Clostridia; Eubacteriales; Clostridiaceae. The record is from RNAcentral.
ACGGGAGGCAGCAGUGGGGAAUAUUGGGCAAUGGGCGCAAGCCUGACCCAGCAACGCCGCGUGAGGGAUGAAGGCCUUCGGGUUGUAAACCUCUGUCCUUGGUGACGAUGAAAGUGACGGUAGCCAAGGAGGAAGCCCCGGCUAACUACGUGCCAGCAGCCGCGGUAAUACGUAGGGGGCGAGCGUUGUCCGGAAUUACUGGGCGUAAAGGGUGCGUAGGUGGCACUUUAAGUUGGAUGUGAAAUACCCGGGCUUAACUUGGGGGCUGCAUCCAAUACUGGAGAGCUAGAGUACAGGAGAGGAAAGCGGAAUUCCUAGUGUAGCGGUGAAAUGCGUAGAUAUUAGGAGGAACACCAGUGGCGAAGGCGGCUUACUGGACGAUAACUGACGCUGAGGCUCGAAAGCGUGGGGAGCAAACAGGAUUAGAUACCCUGGUA